Molecule: transfer RNA, 73 nt
Filed under: Candidatus Woesearchaeota archaeon
Lineage: Archaea; Nanobdellati; Candidatus Woesearchaeota
Description: tRNA-Asp
Rfam family: tRNA
About the family: Transfer RNA (tRNA) molecules are approximately 80 nucleotides in length. Their secondary structure includes four short double-helical elements and three loops (D, anti-codon, and T loops).
Source: RNAcentral
GCCGGGAUAGUGUAGCGGUCUAGCACGCGAGCCUGUCGCGCUUGCAACCCGGGUUCAAAUCCCGGUCCCGGCG